Molecule: ribosomal RNA, 387 nt
Filed under: Sebastes owstoni
Lineage: Eukaryota; Metazoa; Chordata; Actinopteri; Perciformes; Sebastidae
Also listed under: 1 other name
Description: partial 12S ribosomal RNA
Rfam family: Bacterial small subunit ribosomal RNA
Source: RNAcentral
GCCUAGCCCUAAACCUUGGUAAUAUAUCACAUACCCUACCCGCCUGGGAACUACGAGCACCAGCUUAAAACCCAAAGGACUUGGCGGUGCUUUAGACCCCCCUAGAGGAGCCUGUUCUAGAACCGAUAACCCCCGUUCAACCUCACCCUUCCUUGUUUAUCCCGCCUAUAUACCGCCGUCGUCAGCUUACCCUGUGAAGGCCUAAAAGUAAGCACAACUGGCACAACCCAAAACGUCAGGUCGAGGUGUAGCGCAUGGAGGGGGAAGAAAUGGGCUACAUUCCCUAUAUUAGGGAACACGAACGGCGCACUGAAACACGCGCCUGAAGGAGGAUUUAGUAGUAAGCGGGAAAUAGCGUGUUCCGCUGAAAUCGGCCCUGAAGCGCGC